Molecule: ribosomal RNA, 496 nt
Filed under: uncultured bacterium
Lineage: Bacteria
Description: bacterial SSU rRNA
Rfam family: Bacterial small subunit ribosomal RNA
Source: RNAcentral
GAUCAUGGCUCAGGAUGAACGCUGGCGGCUGCCUAANACAUGCAAGUCGAACGGAGUUCUUGAGGAAUGCGACUUCGGUCAAAUGACUUUUGAACUUAGUGGCGGACGGGUGAGUAACGCGUGAGCAACCUGCCUUUCAGAGGGGGAUAACAUUUGGAAACAGAUGCUAAUACCGCAUAAGAUUACAGUACCGCAUGAUACAGUGAUCAAAGGAGCAAUCCGCUGAAAGAUGGGCUCGCGUCCGAUUAGAUAGUUGGUGAGGUAACGGCUCACCAAGUCGACGAUCGGUAGCCGGACUGAGAGGUUGAACGGCCACAUUGGGACUGAGAUACGGCCCAGACUCCUACGGGAGGCAGCAGUGGGGAAUAUUGGGCAAUGGGCGCAAGCCUGACCCAGCAACGCCGCGUGAAGGAAGAAGGCUUUCGGGUUGUAAACUUCUUUUGUCAGGGACGAGUAGAAGACGGUACCUGACGAAUAAGCCACGGCUAACUACGUG